Molecule: transfer RNA, 65 nt
Filed under: Uzeldikra longiprocessa
Lineage: Eukaryota; Metazoa; Arthropoda; Insecta; Hemiptera; Cicadellidae
Description: tRNA-Pro
Source: RNAcentral
CAACAGAUAGUUUAUUUAAAAUUUAGGUUUUGGGUGCUUAAGAAAAUUAUUUUUAUUUUUGUUGA